This 491-nucleotide ribosomal RNA is filed under the name uncultured bacterium. RNAcentral's name for it is "partial 16S ribosomal RNA". It matches the Rfam family "Bacterial small subunit ribosomal RNA", at positions 29 to 506 of the family's 1533-position model. The record is from RNAcentral.
AGUGAACGCUGGCGGUAGGCCUAACACAUGCAAGUCGAACGGCAGCACAGUAAGAGCUUGCUCUUACGGGUGGCGAGUGGCGGACGGGUGAGGAAUACAUCGGAAUCUACUUUUUCGUGGGGGAUAACGUAGGGAAACUUACGCUAAUACCGCAUACGACCUACGGGUGAAAGCAGGGGAUCUUCGGACCUUGCGCGAUUGAAUGAGCCGAUGUCGGAUUAGCUAGUUGGCGGGGUAAAGGCUCACCAAGGCGACGAUCCGUAGCUGGUCUGAGAGGAUGAGCAGCCACAAGGGAAUGGAGAACCGGCCCAGACCCCCAGGGGAGGAAGGAGUGGGGAAAUUUGGAAAUGGGGCGAAAGCCUGAUCCAGCCAUACGGGGGGGGUGAAGAAGGCCUUCGGUUUUUAAAGCCCUUUUGUUGGGAAAAAAAAACAGCAGGUUAACACCCCGCUGUUCUGACGGAACCAAAAGAAUAAGCACCGGAUAACUUCGU